UUCCGGUUGAUCCUGCCGGACCCGACUGCUAUCAGAGUGGGACUAAGCCAUGCGAGUCGACGUAGCAAUGCGUGGCGAACGGCUCAGUAACACGUAGUCAACAUGCCCAGGGGACGUGGAUAACCUCGGGAAACUGAGAAUAAACCACGAUAGGUCACGAUUUCUGGAAUGGAUCAUGGCCUAAAUCUACAUGGCCCCUGGAUUGGACUGCGGCCGAUCAGGCUGUUGGUGAGGUAAUGGCCCACCAAACCUAUAACCGGUACGGGCUCUGAGAGGAGAAGCCCGGAGAUGGGCACUGAGACAAGGGCCCAGGCCCUAUGGGGCGCAGCAGGCGCGAAACCUCUGCAAUAGGCGAAAGCCUGACAGGGUUACUCUGAGUGAUUUCCGCUAAGGGGAUCUUUUGGCACCUCUAAAAAUGGUGCAGAAUAAGGGGUGGGCAAGUCUGGUGUCAGCCGCCGCGGUAAUACUAGCACCCCGAGUGGUCGGGACGAUUAUUGGGCCUAAAGCAUCCGUAGCCGGUUCUGCAAGUCUUCCGUUAAAUCCAGCCGCUCAACGGAUGGGCCGCGGAGGAUACUACAGGACUAGGAGGCGGGAGAGGCAAGCGGUACUCAGUGGGUAGGGGUAAAAUCCUUUGAUCCAUUGAAGACCACCAGUGGCGAAGGCGGCUUGCCAGAACGCGCUCGACGGUGAGGGAUGAAAGCUGGGGGAGCAAACCGGAUUAGAUACCCGGGUAGUCCCAG
RNAcentral lists this ribosomal RNA (740 nucleotides) under uncultured archaeon. RNAcentral describes it as "bacterial SSU rRNA". It matches the Rfam family "Archaeal small subunit ribosomal RNA", at positions 1 to 750 of the family's 1478-position model. The record is from RNAcentral.